RNAcentral lists this long non-coding RNA (3713 nucleotides) under Equus caballus (horse). RNAcentral describes it as "lncRNA (ENSECAG00000057088.1)". Lineage: Eukaryota; Metazoa; Chordata; Mammalia; Perissodactyla; Equidae. The record is from RNAcentral.
ACCCACUUCAAGUGCAAGCCCAGCAUCUGUCUAUUCAGUCUUUCAGAUCAAAUGGCUUUUUGAAUUUUGGUUAUUGCCAAGACACAGGCAACGUAGCAUAUUUAACAGAUGGCUCAACCUUUAAGAUGUUGAAUCUACUUGUGGAAAGAGUUUCUCCUUGCCUCCUUUGGCUGCAGUAAGUUUGCCAUAUGGUACACUGCAGCACUGCAGGUGUGGUGCUCCCCAGAAUGUGAUUCAUGUCUGCAGAUAGUAUGGGGAGAUUUCCAUAGCAACAGGCCACCAAAAAAUGAGACAAUGAAAAGUCUAUGUUAUAUAACAGGGUUUUUUGUUUUGUUUUCGUUCCUAUGCUGUGUGGGCAACUGGUUUGUAUUUCUUAUGGAUUUUAAUGAGGUAAUACACUCAAUUUCAUAAUAAGUUUCUCCUAUAGGUCAUGCCACAAAGAAAGGAACACAGAAACUCAAAAGUACCUGAACUUUCUAUCAUCAGUUAAUCAAAUUUCAAAUUCAGAUCUCUUUAUCUUAUCCUAAUUAUAAAUCCAGAAAUGUGCUUCAUAAGUAAUCAAUAAAGAACAAGAAAAUGUGGUUUGAUAUAGAAUUUUCUAAUAUUUGUUUAUCAAUAUACAUUGAGUACCCAUUGUAGCCACCCCUGACGCAGGAAGGGUUAAUAAUUACUGCAAAAGGCUUGCCAACAAACUGUGACCCAGAGGUGAGGAGGCCGGUUAGCCAAUGAUGGGUAAGACCUCCAGGGGGAGGCAACCUAAGCCAGGCAACAGUCGCCCGGGGGCACAGAUGGAGACGCGAGAUCAGGAGCAGGAGGGGCCAUUGCCUACGAGGGCUUGCAUGCUCCAAGAUAAAAUAUACGAGCACAGCAAUAACAUGAUAAUAUUAAAACAGAGGCCAAGGGAGGGCUCCUUGAGAAAUCACUAAGAAUUCUUGGCAUUCGCUAAUUACAUUGUCCAGAACACCUGUGUAUGUUUAACAGAUGUAAGCUAUGUAUAUAUUGAAACACUGGUUAUGAUAAACUCAGAGUGGCCAUCAGCCCUCUCCACAUCUAUCCUGAUGCGUACAUUGGACUGUGACACCGACACCCAUUAUAAGCAAGACACUGAGAUGAACAACAGUCUUUGUCUUUGAGAAGCUCCAAGUCUAGAAGGGAAGAAAAACACAAGCAAGUACAUUCACUACAUUAUAAUUGACAGAUAUUGUGCUCUGAGCAGCAGCAGGAUUGUUCUUAUUGAUAAUGCAGGAGGUCAGCUUCCUGGAUCAACCUUCUCUGAUGAAACAUCUUAAAAAUCCUGAAUAUAACAUUAAAAGUAAAAUUUCAGCACUAAUAAGCUCUCAGGAAAGUAAGAAAUUCUCAGGUCAGUCACCGAUAAAGAAUAGCAAUUUAACUUUUUUUUUGGGGGGGGGGAGUCACCAAGUUACUUUAUUUGAAGGAAUGGUACAAAUGAAAGAAUUUAAGUAGAUGUUUUGGUACAACUUACAGAAAAGAUAAAUGUAACCCUAACAUUCAUGCGCUGCCUGGUGACCAGGGAAGUCCUCUCAUGGCUAUGGGAAACAUCCUAAGGCUCAGUUCUUCCCAUCAUUGUCUUCCAGGGUGUGCUUGUCAAAGAGAUACCCUGCCAUGCCAGAUUCUGGGGGCCCCAUAAUGGAAAAGUUGGUUAUAGUGGUCAUCCAAUUCUUUGAAGAAUUUUGUCUGCUUAUUUAAGUAAUGACUCUCAAUGAAGGCACACAAAUGGGGGCUAUUUUCGUCAGUGGCCAGUUUGUGAGUACAGUCCCAGUAGUGACUGAUUCAUGCUUUUUCCCAAGUGUAACACACACUCUGUUGCAUUCAGCCCAUUCUCCCAGUCAUCGUGAUCUGGUUUCUUGAUAUCCUGAAGGAAUGGCCACCUCGUUGGUUCUGCAGCUUUAUCCGUUUCUCAGCAUGUUUCCUCGUCUUAUGAGAUUGGUGAAGAAAGCAUUUGGCAGAGUUCUUCAAAGCCACAUCAUCUCAAAGUAGUAAGACAUGGACAGGAAGAUGUAGGAAGCAUAGAGCUCCAGGUUGAUCUGGCAGUUGAUGGCGGCCUCUGAGUCAAGGUGGUAGUCCUGGCAUACCUGUGAGGGGGACGUGGUCCUCAUAGCACGUGGCUGAGGAGAGGAGGCCGGUUAGCCAAUGAUGGGUAAGACCUCCAGGGGGAGGCAACCUAAGCCAGGCAACAGUCGCCCGGGGGCACAGAUGGAGACGCGAGAUCAGGAGCAGGAGGGGCCAUUGCCUACGAGGGCUUGCAUGCUCCAAGAUAAAAUAUACGAGCACAGCAAUAACAUGAUAAUAUUAAAACAGAGGCCAAGGGAGGGCUCCUUGAGAAAUCACUAAGAAUUCUUGGCAUUCGCUAAUUACAUUGUCCAGAACACCUGUGUAUGUUUAACAGAUGUAAGCUAUGUAUAUAUUGAAACACUGGUUAUGAUAAACUCAGAGUGGCCAUCAGCCCUCUCCACAUCUAUCCUGAUGCGUACAUUGGACUGUGACACCGACACCCAUUAUAAGCAAGACACUGAGAUGAACAACAGUCUUUGUCUUUGAGAAGCUCCAAGUCUAGAAGGGAAGAAAAACACAAGCAAGUACAUUCACUACAUUAUAAUUGACAGAUAUUGUGCUCUGAGCAGCAGCAGGAUUGUUCUUAUUGAUAAUGCAGGAGGUCAGCUUCCUGGAUCAACCUUCUCUGAUGAAACAUCUUAAAAAUCCUGAAUAUAACAUUAAAAGUAAAAUUUCAGCACUAAUAAGCUCUCAGGAAAGUAAGAAAUUCUCAGGUCAGUCACCGAUAAAGAAUAGCAAUUUAACUUUUUUUUUGGGGGGGGGGAGUCACCAAGUUACUUUAUUUGAAGGAAUGGUACAAAUGAAAGAAUUUAAGUAGAUGUUUUGGUACAACUUACAGAAAAGAUAAAUGUAACCCUAACAUUCAUGCGCUGCCUGGUGACCAGGGAAGUCCUCUCAUGGCUAUGGGAAACAUCCUAAGGCUCAGUUCUUCCCAUCAUUGUCUUCCAGGGUGUGCUUGUCAAAGAGAUACCCUGCCAUGCCAGAUUCUGGGGGCCCCAUAAUGGAAAAGUUGGUUAUAGUGGUCAUCCAAUUCUUUGAAGAAUUUUGUCUGCUUAUUUAAGUAAUGACUCUCAAUGAAGGCACACAAAUGGGGGCUAUUUUCGUCAGUGGCCAGUUUGUGAGUACAGUCCCAGUAGUGACUGAUUCAUGCUUUUUCCCAAGUGUAACACACACUCUGUUGCAUUCAGCCCAUUCUCCCAGUCAUCGUGAUCUGGUUUCUUGAUAUCCUGAAGGAAUGGCCACCUCGUUGGUUCUGCAGCUUUAUCCGUUUCUCAGCAUGUUUCCUCGUCUUAUGAGAUUGGUGAAGAAAGCAUUUGGCAGAGUUCUUCAAAGCCACAUCAUCUCAAAGUAGUAAGACAUGGACAGGAAGAUGUAGGAAGCAUAGAGCUCCAGGUUGAUCUGGCAGUUGAUGGCGGCCUCUGAGUCAAGGUGGUAGUCCUGGCAUACCUGUGAGGGGGACGUGGUCCUCAUAGCACGUGGCUGAGGAGAGGUGGUGGCGGUGGUGGAGGCUGGGGUAGUCUGAGGGAGCUGUGAAGAGGCGAUGAAAGGUUGGCUCUGAGCGCCAGGCAGGGUGGGGGAUGAGUGCCCGUUCAGUCCAAGCACUGUUAAGGCAGGAAACUGCAGGACUCUUGGUGAAGAGC